Molecule: ribosomal RNA, 223 nt
Filed under: uncultured bacterium
Lineage: Bacteria
Description: partial 16S ribosomal RNA
Rfam family: Bacterial small subunit ribosomal RNA
Source: RNAcentral
UGGGUAACCUGCCCAUCAGAGGGGGAUAACAUUCGGAAACGGAUGCUAAAACCGCAUAGGUCUUCGAACCGCAUGGUUUGAAGAGGAAAAGAGGCGCAAGCUCCUGCUGAUGGAUGGACCCGCGGUGCAUUAGCUAGUUGGUGAGGUAACGGCUCACCAAGGCCGUGAUGCAUAGCCGACCUGAGAGGGUGAUCGGCCACAUUGGGACUGAGACACGGCCCAA